RNAcentral lists this ribosomal RNA (800 nucleotides) under uncultured bacterium. RNAcentral describes it as "bacterial SSU rRNA". It matches the Rfam family "Bacterial small subunit ribosomal RNA", at positions 8 to 821 of the family's 1533-position model. The record is from RNAcentral.
AGAGUUUGAUCCUGGCUCAGGAUGAACGCUGGCGGCGUGCUUAACACAUGCAAGUCGAACGAUGAUCCCAGCUUGCUGGGGGAUUAGUGGCGAACGGGUGAGUAACACGUGAGUAACCUGCCCUUAACUCUGGGAUAAGCCUGGGAAACUGGGUCUAAUACCGGAUAUGACUCCUCAUCGCAUGGUGGGGGGUGGAAAGCUUUAUUGUGGUUUUGGAUGGACUCGCGGCCUAUCAGCUUGUUGGUGAGGUAAUGGCUCACCAAGGCGACGACGGGUAGCCGGCCUGAGAGGGUGACCGGCCACACUGGGACUGAGACACGGCCCAGACUCCUACGGGAGGCAGCAGUGGGGAAUAUUGCACAAUGGGCGAAAGCCUGAUGCAGCGACGCCGCGUGAGGGAUGACGGCCUUCGGGUUGUAAACCUCUUUCAGUAGGGAAGAAGCGAAAGUGACGGUACCUGCAGAAGAAGCGCCGGCUAACUACGUGCCAGCAGCCGCGGUAAUACGUAGGGCGCAAGCGUUAUCCGGAAUUAUUGGGCGUAAAGAGCUCGUAGGCGGUUUGUCGCGUCUGCCGUGAAAGUCCGGGGCUCAACUCCGGAUCUGCGGUGGGUACGGGCAGACUAGAGUGAUGUAGGGGAGACUGGAAUUCCUGGUGUAGCGGUGAAAUGCGCAGAUAUCAGGAGGAACACCGAUGGCGAAGGCAGGUCUCUGGGCAUUAACUGACGCUGAGGAGCGAAGGCAUGGGGAGCGAACAGGAUUAGAUACCCUGGUAGUCCAUGCCGUAAACGUUGGGCACUAGGU